Molecule: ribosomal RNA, 253 nt
Filed under: uncultured bacterium
Lineage: Bacteria
Description: partial 16S ribosomal RNA
Rfam family: Bacterial small subunit ribosomal RNA
Source: RNAcentral
UACAGAGGUCUCAAGCGUUGUUCGGAUUCAUUGGGCGUAAAGGGUGCGUAGGCGGCGCGGUAAGUCGGGUGUGAAAUCUCGGGGCUUAACUCCGAAACUGCAUUCGAUACUGCCGUGCUUGAGGACUGGAGAGGAGACUGGAAUUUACGGUGUAGCGGUGAAAUGCGUAGAUAUCGGGAGGAACACCAGUGGCGAAGGCGACUACCUGGCCUGUUCUUGACGCUGAGGCGCGAAAGCUAGGGGAGCAAACGGG